ACAGUAGAGAGACGUGAUCACAGGAGAGAGGUCACGAUGAAUCUGAGUGCUAACCUCUGGAGUGUGUUUGUGCAGAGAUCCCCUCGCUGGCUCUGCUCCAGAAGACCCCCUCCUCUCCAGUCCGCUGCCACGCUACAGGUUUCUACCCGGACAGAGCCGUGAUGUUCUGGAGGAAAGACGGAGAGGAGCUUCACGACAACGUGGACCAAGGAGAGACCCUGCCCAACCACGACGGAUCCUUCCAGAUGAGUGUGGACCUGGACGUCCCCGCUGGAGACUGGGGGAAGUACCAGUGUGUGUUUCAGCUCUCUGGUGUGGGGGACAAGGUCCUCGUCCUGGACUCAGCUGAGAUCAAGACCAACACAGGGAACCCCCUCCUCCUCAUCAUCGGGGCUGCAGUGGCUGCUCUCCUCCUCCUCCUCCUCCUCCUCCUCCUCAUCGCUGGGAUCGGAUUCCUGGUUUACAGAGAGAGGAACGCCAAUAAGAACUCUCCCUCUCCGGCCUCCAGCGCUGAGCUCACCCAGCUGAAUCAGCCGUCUCAGUGAGGCGCUUCAUCCCCUCUCCAGCUGCUGUCUCUCAGAGCUGCCUCUCUCUCUGCUGUGAAGCGUCUGGAGGAGCAGCGGUACAGUUCAGAUCCUUCUGCAGAGCGCCGUGGGGAAGGCUCGCUCUCAGGAACGCAGAUAUUAGGAAAUCAAUGACAUCAGUUCAAUGGAAUAGAGAAGCAGCAAUUGGAAAUAGAAUAAGCACCUGAGGGAUAUCUCAGGUCUAAAUCAGGUCAAUGUUGGGCUUUAAGGACUCGAUCUCACUUCUUUAUGUCCUCUUCUUUAGGGUUAUGGGUCAGGCAGCGCUGCACCACUUCUCCCUGUAAACUGGGAACCAUUGAUUAUCCUGGGAUCAUUACCUGGUAAUAUUAGGGUUUGAAUCCAGCAGGAGACGCUCACUGAUUGGACGACAGAGGAAAUGUUAUUUGGUUUCUCAUGAAGUGUCUUUUCCUCUGAUCAUGUAUUUCUGCUCAGGAAAUCUGUCUCAUCUGAAGAGAAUCAGAACCUCUCUGCUGUUGGGUUUCUGGCAAAUCAAUAUUAUGUAACACACACACACACACACACACACACACUCUAAAAAGUAAUACUGCAUAUUACUUGAUACAAUUAGUGAAACAUUUUUACACUCGAAGAUAUUGAGUUGAUUUGAAAUCUCUCUAAUCGGUUAAAACAAAACAUGAAUCCUAAAUCUAAAGUAAUAUUUUCGAAUACGUCUGAAUGAAUUGACUUGGCUCAAAUACCACAUACAUUAGGUAAAUGUAACUGAAAUGCUGUGUUAACCAUAUGGAAAACCUGAGUAGAAAACACUAAAGAAACUCAGCAAAUAUAAUUGAAAACAUUUAUAGGAGAUAAUUACAAAUGUGCUAAUGACUUACUAAAGAAAUGUGUUGUACUGAUUUUAAAUUGUAUUUUUUAUUUGAGGAUAUUCAGUAGCUACUAUAAACGAAUAUGACCAAGGGCUCACAAAACAGGAAAACUUUAUUUUAAAACAAUUUUCCCACAGAAAAUUACAUUUCUUCCCCCAACAUCUGCACACACUAGCAGCAACAUUAUUCAUAUUGCAAGUAAUAACCAAAAGUGCAACAGGGAUUUUUUUCUUUUCAGAAUUCUUCAAAAUUCUCCACAAGAACUGGAGUUGUAUCACAACAACAGAGGGGUUCAACUGUGUUUUUUCCCCAUCUCAAUCAUCACCAACUAACAGUUACCUCAACAACAUGUCCAUCUGUCUUACCACUGAAGUUAUGUGGACACAACCUACAGCAACACCGUUACAGGAAAGGAAAUUCGGUAUACCCAAGAUCAAACAAAUACUUCUUGCCAAAUGGGCAUGAAAAAAAGAUACAUGUUAAAGAUGAAUAUUAAUGCUAGGUGUAAUCUUCACACUAAACACAUUGAUGAGUAGUAGCUAUGUCUAUAACAAUCUGUAACAUAAGGGCAAACAUCAUCUCCAGCAUAUGUGGCUUCAUGUUUAGAUGUGACAAUGCAAUGGUCAACUCUUGUGCUUUUUAAUCACAUGCAUUUCUCACAUUUCCAGAUACUCCAAACUGAAAAUACAAAAACGUUCUCCUUUAGACGUACAACAUUUAAGUAAAAUUUGAAGCCUUGUGGCUCAGGAAUGAAUUGUAAAUGUGCAAUCAAAAAGAAGUCAGAUUGUGCAGGGACAGACAACACCUGGGAAAGGUUUUCCAAAAUGAAGCCACAGAUCAUCCAAGUUUCUGUCCAGAAGGAUCUCACUAAUUCCUGAGGGUUCCCAGCAUCCACUUCAACAAGCAUCUUUUGAAAUACUUCAAAAGUGUACUUUAGAGUUUUGGGGUAUUUAAGAUCCAAGGCAUAAGUUAGCCCAAGCAAGUAGCAGCAGGCUCUGCUGAGAUCCCCAAGGUGGUUGAGUACGAUGGAACUCUCAAUGACGAGCCCUACGUCCCUGAUUUGUCCAUUUUCACUUCGCACAAGGUACAGAGCCAUCAUCUCUGCUCCCAGCUCUUCUUCCACAUUGAUGGCUGAAUCAUCAGAAGUCUGUAGACAUUGUAAAGGAAAGUGGUUAGAGCAGGCAGAAUGUCACCAGAAUAAAAUAAAUGACCAAACUACAUAAACUCAGCUAUACAAACA
Eleginops maclovinus (Patagonian blennie) is the source of this 2648-nucleotide RNA transcript. It is a transcript of the gene named major histocompatibility complex class I-related gene protein-like, with no coding region annotated. The record is from RefSeq and is a predicted model, not a curated record. The transcript is spliced from 5 exons. Lineage: Eukaryota; Metazoa; Chordata; Actinopteri; Perciformes; Eleginopidae.